ACAUGCAAGUCGGACGGUAGCACAGAGGAGCUUGCUCCUCGGGUGACGAGUGGCGGACGGGUGAGUAAUGUCUGGGGAUCUGCCCGAUAGAGGGGGAUAACCACUGGAAACGGUGGCUAAUACCGCAUAACGUCGCAAGACCAAAGAGGGGGACCUUCGGGCCUCUCACUAUCGGAUGAACCCAGAUGGGAUUAGCUAGUAGGCGGGGUAAUGGCCCACCUAGGCGACGAUCCCUAGCUGGUCUGAGAGGAUGACCAGCCACACUGGAACUGAGACACGGUCCAGACUCCUACGGGAGGCAGCAGUGGGGAAUAUUGCACAAUGGGCGCAAGCCUGAUGCAGCCAUGCCGCGUGUAUGAAGAAGGCCUUCGGGUUGUAAAGUACUUUCAGCGGGGAGGAAGGCGAUGGGGUUAAUAACCUUGUCGAUUGACGUUACCCGCAAAAGAAGCACCGGCUAACUCCGUGCCAGCAGCCGCGGUAAUACGGAGGGUGCAAGCGUUAAUCGGAAUUACUGGGCGUAAAGCGCACGCAGGCGGUCUGUUAAGUCAGAUGUGAAAUCCCCGGGCUUAACCUGGGAACUGCAUUUGAAACUGGCAGGCUUGAGUCUCGUAGAGGGGGGUAGAAUUCCAGGUGUAGCGGUGAAAUGCGUAGAGAUCUGGAGGAAUACCGGUGGCGAACGCGGCCCCCUGGACGAAGACUGACUCUCAUGUGCGAAAGCGUGGGGAGCAAACAGAUUAGAUACCCUUUUA
This 749-nucleotide ribosomal RNA is filed under the name Pantoea ananatis. Its description in RNAcentral is "bacterial SSU rRNA". It matches the Rfam family "Bacterial small subunit ribosomal RNA", at positions 53 to 792 of the family's 1533-position model. Lineage: Bacteria; Pseudomonadati; Pseudomonadota; Gammaproteobacteria; Enterobacterales; Erwiniaceae. The record is from RNAcentral.